AUUAUUGGAAAAUACUAUUUAAGCUCAGUUCACUUGUAUCUUGGUUACUGAAAUAUAAUUCAAAUGAGAAGCAAUGGAGCAGGAGCCAAUUUCAGAGGAAGCCUAAUCUUUCUUUCAGUGCAUGGUUCAGAUUUUCAUUAAUAAAAAUGUGUAGUGUUUUAAUAUGCACACCAGGCUAGCAUAUUGUAAGUGUGAAAUGAGUUUAAUUUUAUUGAACUUGCUAACUUGCUUAGUCUUGGUGAAAAUGAAUUUACUGAUAUGAGACUAGAACAUAUCUGAACUAUGAAUGAAAAAGAAGUCAAUCUGUUCAGUGAUGGAAUAGUAAAAUAUGAGAAGGAGUUUUUGAUGGAAUGAGGUGGAGGAGCAAAGUGCCUCAUUCAGAUUUUCCAAACAAUCCCCAGUCACUAAAUAGGAAAGCAUUCAUCUAUUACUCUUUGGAAUAUUAAAUGAUAUGUUAAAGAGAGAUUUGGUUUGCUUUGUUAAAUUUGGUGCUUUGGAGGUCUGAAAACAUCUUUUGGCAUAUCAACUUGCAGUCCACUUGCAACUUUAGUUUUAUUAACUUGGGAAAUGAGAAAAUGUGAAGGGAAAAUAUGUGGUAGAAUAUGGGAGGGACGUAGAGCUGAGACUCAGGACUGAAAAAUCUGUCUUGCCGCUGUAAUAUAAUCUAGUCUCCUUUGUCAGUAGGCAGAAGCACAUUACUGGGUAUCAUCACAGAAAUGAAUUUCUGAAGAAAAGCACUGUAAUCAAAGCCUUUUAAUGAGAAAAAAAAGACAGCCAAACCAGUCCAAGUCACACUGAGGUUCUAAGCUCCUAUGAGGAAGUACUUUAAAGAGUGAUCAACUAUUGCUGUAAAAGAGGUCGUGAAAUAAGAGAAUGAAGGGAACCAGCCUCCAUGUAUCAGAUGCUGCCAUGAACAUCUCAUUUAUUUUAUCUCAUUGAAUCCUAACCAAGAUUAUAUGAAGAAGAACCAUGAUGAGCUUCUAGAAAAUGCAUUAUUGAUGUGAUGUAAUAAGGGGUGCUGAAAUAGCACCAGAUGCCACUAGAUGGCCGCUGAGAACAGAACCUUAGUUUAUUCACCAUGAUGACUGGGUACAAAUGGCUGUUAAGCAUUGAGGCAAGGUGGAAUUGUUCUGCCUAAUCAGGGAGGAAAUUAUUUUAAUGAGAUGAGAAGAGGAGGGAAGAAGAGAGCCAGUGGAUGCUGUCAGAGGAGAAGAAGAGGCUGGCGUCCAGAGACCAUACCGCC
This is a long non-coding RNA of Lontra canadensis (Northern American river otter), 1243 nucleotides long. RefSeq lists it as uncharacterized. The transcript has 4 exons. The record is from RefSeq and is a predicted model, not a curated record. Lineage: Eukaryota; Metazoa; Chordata; Mammalia; Carnivora; Mustelidae.